UGGGGGAUAUUGCACAAUGGGCGAAAGCCUGAUGCAGCGACGCCGCGUGGGGGAUGAAGGCCUUCGGGUUGUAAACUUCUUUUGCUCUGAACAAGGCAUGCCUUUGGGGUGUGUUGAGUGUAGGGGUUGAUUAGCGCCGGCUAACUACGUGCCAGCAGCCGCGGUAAUACGUAGGGCGCGAGCGUUGUCCGGAAUUAUUGGGCGUAAAGGGCUUGUAGGUGGCUGGUUGCGUCUGUCGUGAAAGCUCAUGGCUUAACUGUGGGUUUGCGGUGGGUACGGGCUGGCGUGAGUGCAGUAGGGGAGGCUGGAAUUCCUGGUGUAGCGGUGGAAGGCGCAGAUAUCAGGAGGAAUACCGGUGGCGAAGGCGGGUCUCUGGGCUGUUACUGACGCUGAGGAGCGAAAGCGUGGGGAGCGAACAGG
RNAcentral lists this ribosomal RNA (420 nucleotides) under Fusobacteriota bacterium. RNAcentral describes it as "Fusobacteria bacterium partial 16S ribosomal RNA". It matches the Rfam family "Bacterial small subunit ribosomal RNA", at positions 355 to 776 of the family's 1533-position model. The record is from RNAcentral. Lineage: Bacteria; Fusobacteriati; Fusobacteriota.